UAGGAAUGAAUGGGCGGUCAUGUUUUAGACUUCUACGCUGGUCCCACUUUAGAGAUUUCAGUCACUGAUUGGCUGGACGAUGACUCAUCUUCAUCACCUCAACCCAGUCCCAACAUCUUCAUCAUGCAUGAACGAAACAGGUUUGAAUUAUGGCAGGAAACUGACUCCAUAUUAAUCCUUCCACCAUCAAGAAUGGAAACUCCCUGAUGCCAUUGGUCGAGAGAACAUCUGAGUUCUCACUGGUGGUCUGCUUGGAGCGACGCCCAAAGGUGUUAUCUGAUUGGAUCACACCUGAUAAACCUUUGCAUAUGGCACUGUGGUCUCUUCACAUCAGGCAGGCUAAAUGAUUAGCAUGCAUUCACCUGUAUGUGUGUAGACGUGUGUUUGGUAUUGGAGAGAUAUGACGUCAUUGUAAAAAAAGAAUCAAAUACACUUCCUAUUUUAUUUUACAAUCAUCCUUUUCACUUCAAGCAUUUACAUUUGAAAUCAUCUACUUUCACCGACUCUGCAGUCCAAUAUGUAUGCCUACAUUGUCUUAUUUUACUGUGCAUUAUUGCAGCCUAUAUGUAUAAUUAACAUUUUUAUUUGAAGUAUGGAAAUGCAGGUUACG
Gadus chalcogrammus (walleye pollock) is the source of this 610-nucleotide long non-coding RNA. RefSeq lists it as uncharacterized. The transcript has 3 exons. The record is from RefSeq and is a predicted model, not a curated record. Lineage: Eukaryota; Metazoa; Chordata; Actinopteri; Gadiformes; Gadidae.